Girardinichthys multiradiatus is the source of this 747-nucleotide long non-coding RNA. RefSeq lists it as uncharacterized. The transcript is spliced from 4 exons. Lineage: Eukaryota; Metazoa; Chordata; Actinopteri; Cyprinodontiformes; Goodeidae. The record is from RefSeq and is a predicted model, not a curated record.
UCCUCACUCUAACUCAAUAGACUUCAUCUACAACAACAACUUGCAAAAUUGAGUAGUUUUUAACGGGACGUACCGACAUUCGCGCGCAAGAAGAGUGGAAUUAUGAGAUUUUAACCCUGCUUUAAGCGACAACACCAGGCAAGCAACGGUCAAGGAGGCACCACGGUAAAAAUCACCUGGAGGACUCCAUACGCCAGUACUGUGGCAGCUCAUGGGCUGGCAAUGUAAACUUUGCAAAUUUGAGGAUUCUUCAAAAGGCGAGCUGCUCAAGCAUUAUCGACUCAAGCACGGUCAAAGCUCCGAAACCUUGGAUUUCCUGAGGUUGCCUGCAACUCACUUAAGAACAAGCACCCAGAUGAUCGGUCUCCUGCAAAGAAUAUAAAGAAAGCACGGAAAGGAGAAGUUGUGUUUCUCCCACACUAUCCUGCUGGAGACAGUAAGGAACAACAAGAGCUGGACCGAAACCAACUUAUCGCUGAAUCAAAAAAGAGAGACAGCACAGUCAUCAAGGACUUGAUGUCCAGAACCUUUGCACAUCGGAAACAUGAUGUUGUCAGGCUACAGAUGAGCAUCAGUGACAUCAAGGACAGAUGGCCCGCCUUGUUUGAUGUCUCGCAAAUUAGCGCAGAGUUUCAGAGGAUCCCCACACUGAAUCUUGAGCCAAAAUUCAUGGCAAUGUUGGACAUCUACACACCUAAACUGUUGUCCUUGUUUCAAUCGAAGAAAGGUGCUGCAGGAGAGAGACAA